AGCUCUGUAAGCGUAUACCAAAGUUGUUGCAGUUAAAACGCUCGUAGUCGGAUUUUGGCAAUUCCGGAUGUGUGCGCGUCGUGCGCGCACUUUGCAGGGAUUGCUUUUGUGGGUAUGCGUGGGAUGAUGCAACUUUAUUGUUGAACGUCCCUACGCAACCACUCUUUACUGUGAGAAAAUUAGAGUGUUCAAAGCAGGCAAUUGCCGUGAAUACAUUAGCAUGGAAUAAUAGAAUAGGACUCUGUCUUAUUUUGUUGGUUUGUUAAUUCGGAGUAAUGAUUAAGAGGGACAGUUGGGGGCAUUUGUAUUUCGGCGCUAGAGGUGAAAUUCUUAGAUUGCCGAAAGACAAACUGCUGCGAAAGCGUCUGCCAAGGAUGUUUUCAUUGAUCAAGAACGAAAG
RNAcentral lists this ribosomal RNA (400 nucleotides) under phytoplankton environmental sample. RNAcentral's name for it is "partial small subunit ribosomal RNA". It matches the Rfam family "Eukaryotic small subunit ribosomal RNA", at positions 587 to 989 of the family's 1831-position model. The record is from RNAcentral.